GGGGGAAGGCUGGAUCCUGGGCUUGUCCCGCGCCCUGUGCUCCGGGACCUGCGCUGUUGGAUUCGCGCUCCCGGGCCGGCAACCCCCU
This 88-nucleotide microRNA precursor is filed under the name Canis lupus familiaris (dog). RNAcentral describes it as "mir-8799 microRNA precursor family". It matches the Rfam family "mir-8799 microRNA precursor family". RNAcentral also lists the same sequence under 1 other name. The record is from Rfam by way of RNAcentral. Lineage: Eukaryota; Metazoa; Chordata; Mammalia; Carnivora; Canidae.